ACUCAUGUUUGCCUUUGUUGUUAUUUGUCAUGUCUUGUUGGUUUGUGUCUGUGUCAUGUCAGUCAUGUCCCGUGUUUGAUGUUCCCUUGAGGAGCGUCUGGAAGCCGCUUCUUAAGGGAGGGGUUCUGUCAUGAUUCUGCCCUCGUGUCCUUGAUUUUUCCUAGUCUUGAGGCAGGAUCAUGACAGACCCGUGUUUUGUGUACAAGCACAUGGCCUUGCCUUUGGGCCAUGUGCUUGUGUUGUCUCGUUCCCUUGCCCCGCCCCCCUUGUUAACCUAGUCGUGUCAUGAUUGCUAUCUGUGCCACCUGUCGUGUCUUAAUUGUUCCCCUAUUUAGCUUUCCUAGUGUGCUCUGUCUGGCGUCGGUUCAUUGUGUUCCUACCUGUCAGCCUUGUGAAAGAGUAUUCCCCUUUGAGAUAUUGUAUCCUGUAUAACCGUGAGUGUUAUUUGUAGUUAGUGUUCUCCUGUUUUGAGUCUUUGUUUAAUCAGUCCUAUUUAGUAUUUGUUGUAUCUGCCCUAGUCCUGUUUUCCCCCUCGUGGGUUUUUGUGUUCCCUUUUUGUAAAUAAACCCUUUUGUGUUGCGAAUCCUGUCUGCACUUGAGUUCCUCCCUUACCAAUCCCUGACAGGACAACCCCAAGAUCCGUGAUGUUCUGGCCUGCUAUGAUCCAGACUCUGACAAGGCUGCUCGCACCCUUCUGCUCCUAAUGUUGUACUUCGGAGAGUUUGAUACUUGAAGUUCAUUCAUGUGCCACUGCUGUGGACGUCAAUACUGCAGAACUCCCCAGAACCCCCUGCUUGAUCAUUCAAGGUGACAUGAUGAAGCCCUCUGGAUGGCUUUUGUCAAUCGAGGGACAUGUCGUGAUGGGCCCACACCCUUUAUUUUUACACGGAGUAGCACUUUCUUCAGCAGCUAUUACGUAUUCAACCUUGAGUAUCCUACCGCUGGAUCUUCGACGCUGGAGUUCAUUCAAAGGUGCUUCCUGGGCAUCAAUCCUGAAAGAGGCUCAAAGACCAAGAAGCGGACAACAAUGAACCCUCAUGUGAGCACCCUUUUGAGGAAACUUAUUGACUUUGAGUGGGCACCAUAGUUUUUUUUUGUUUUUGUUUUUUGCAGCGGUAGUUGUCAGGCUCAGUUUUGAGUAGCCUUGUUCUUUUUGUAAUUUUUCCAGACAACUUUGCACUACAAUGCUGUUGCGUGUGACUCUUUAAGUACUUGGCAUCUGCUGUACAAUUGAAAAAUAUUUUUUUCUUAAUAAAUAUGCCAUUGGGCUAACGUUGA
This is a long non-coding RNA of Carassius gibelio (silver crucian carp), 1278 nucleotides long. RefSeq lists it as uncharacterized. The transcript has 4 exons. The record is from RefSeq and is a predicted model, not a curated record. NCBI's taxonomy places the organism in Eukaryota, Metazoa, Chordata, Actinopteri, Cypriniformes, Cyprinidae.